CCUACGGGAGGCAGCAGUCGAGAAUCAUUCACAAUGGGGGAAACCCUGAUGGUGCGACGCCGCGUGGGGGAAUGAAGGUCUUCGGAUUGUAAACCCCUGUCAUGUGGGAGCAAAUUAAAAAGAUAGUACCACAAGAGGAAGAGACGGCUAACUCUGUGCCAGCAGCCGCGGUAAUACAGAGGUUUCAAGCGUUGUUCGGAAUCACUGGGCGUAAAGCGUGCGUAGGCUGUUUGGUAAGUCGGUGGUGAAAGGCGCGGGCUCAACCCGCGGACGGCAUAUGCUACUGCGAGACUAGAGUAAUGGUGGGGGAACCGGAAUUCUCGGUGUAGCAGUGAAAUGCGUAGAUAUCG
Molecule: ribosomal RNA, 350 nt
Filed under: uncultured bacterium
Lineage: Bacteria
Description: partial 16S ribosomal RNA
Rfam family: Bacterial small subunit ribosomal RNA
Source: RNAcentral